This 253-nucleotide ribosomal RNA is filed under the name uncultured bacterium. Its description in RNAcentral is "partial 16S ribosomal RNA". It matches the Rfam family "Bacterial small subunit ribosomal RNA", at positions 524 to 776 of the family's 1533-position model. The record is from RNAcentral.
UACGUAGGGUGCGAGCGUUAAUCGGAAUUACUGGGCGUAAAGCGUGCGCAGGCGGUUUUGUAAGACAGAUGUGAAAUCCCCGGGCUUAACCUGGGAACUGCAUUUGUGACUGCAAGACUAGAGUACGGCAGAGGGGGGUAGAAUUCCACGUGUAGCAGUGAAAUGCGUAGAGAUGUGGAGGAACACCGAUGGCGAAGGCAAUCCCCUGGACCUGUACUGACGCUCAUGCACGAAAGCGUGGGGAGCAAACAGG